RNAcentral lists this ribosomal RNA (601 nucleotides) under uncultured bacterium. Its description in RNAcentral is "bacterial SSU rRNA". It matches the Rfam family "Bacterial small subunit ribosomal RNA", at positions 726 to 1330 of the family's 1533-position model. The record is from RNAcentral.
CUGCUGGGCUUUAACUGACGCUGAGGCACGAAAGCGUGGGUAGCAAACAGGAUUAGAUACCCUGGUAGUCCACGCUGUAAACGAUGAUUACUAGGUGUGGGGGGACUGACCCCUUCCGUGCCGGAGUUAACACAAUAAGUAAUCCACCUGGGGAGUACGGCCGCAAGGUUGAAACUCAAAGGAAUUGACGGGGGCCCGCACAAGCAGUGGAGUAUGUGGUUUAAUUCGAAGCAACGCGAAGAACCUUACCAGGUCUUGACAUCCAACUAACGAAGUAGAGAUACAUCAGGUGCCCUUCGGGGAAAGUUGAGACAGGUGGUGCAUGGUUGUCGUCAGCUCGUGUCGUGAGAUGUUGGGUUAAGUCCCGCAACGAGCGCAACCCUUGCUAUUAGUUGCUACGCAAGAGCACUCUAAUAGGACUGCCGUUGACAAAACGGAGGAAGGUGGGGACGACGUCAAAUCAUCAUGCCCCUUAUGACCUGGGCUACACACGUACUACAAUGGCCAUCAACAGAGGGAAGCAAAACAGCGAUGUGGAGCAAACCCCUAAAAAUGGUCUCAGUUCAGAUUGCAGGCUGCAACCCGCCUGCAUGAAGUCGGA